Molecule: ribosomal RNA, 119 nt
Filed under: Leptobrachium leishanense (Leishan spiny toad)
Lineage: Eukaryota; Metazoa; Chordata; Amphibia; Anura; Megophryidae
Source: RNAcentral
AUCUACAGCCAUACCAUCCUGAAAGCGCAGGAUCCCGUCAGAUCUCAAAUGCAAUCAAGGGUAGGGCUUGUUCAGUACCAGUGUGGGUGACUGACUGGGAAUCGCAAGUGCUGUAGACC